This 644-nucleotide long non-coding RNA is filed under the name Homo sapiens (human). Its description in RNAcentral is "HSALNT0348453". Lineage: Eukaryota; Metazoa; Chordata; Mammalia; Primates; Hominidae. The record is from RNAcentral.
CACCAUGGGAAACUGAAACCAGGAAUUUAAUCUCAAAUUUCUGAAGACAUUCAGACUUAUCCAUUGUUCUAUGAAUCAGGAAUAUGUUAACAGAAGUUCUGGUUAUUGAAGAAUCUUCAGAAUGAAAAUCAAAUUAUGAAAUCCCCAGUUGUAAUAUUCCCACCAUGGGUGAAGUCUGCUGUCUGAUUGCUAGAAUUUUGGCCGAUGCCUUCUUGCACCUCUAUGAACCCGACUCCAGCCCCUCCCCUCUAAUUACUGCCCACAGUGAAGAGAGAAUUUCUGCCCACUCCCUGCAAGCCCAGGUUGGAAAUGUUUGAGGAGGCAUUUAUCAUGAAAGCCGUGGCCUUUGCUCCUAAAGCUUCGUCUCACAAGUACAAUAACAAAAACUGCUAAUUAAAAGAGGGAAAACAACCAGGAGUCAAACACAAAGGGGCAUCCCUGCCUCAUCAGCACAGAACAAUCGACCGGCUCCCUUCACUGCCCAUGCGAGGCUCCAUGUGAGGAAGCCUGCUCUGCCCUUCCAGGAAGCAGGUGUGGGAAUAGAAGGAGGCACCACUCAUCUUCUGCAGAAAAGCAAAAUGAAGACAUCAUCAGAGAGCAGCACUCAUUGGAAGUAGCUCCUCGGGUUCCCUUCUAAUGUCAGG